RNAcentral lists this long non-coding RNA (34939 nucleotides) under Panax ginseng (ginseng). RNAcentral describes it as "long non-coding RNA (PGIN_LNC010088)". Lineage: Eukaryota; Viridiplantae; Streptophyta; Magnoliopsida; Apiales; Araliaceae. The record is from RNAcentral.
GUUCAACUUUUGUGGUUUUUCAAAUGGUAGAGUAGAUUUGGUGUAUUUGUGAUGUGGCUUAGCUCAUGUAAAACCGAAUGGUAAUGGUAAUGGUAAUGGUAAUAAAUGGUAGGACACUAACUAUAUAAAAAGUAAGUUCUAUAUUUGGUGCACAAUUUAUUGUGUACAUAGUAUUUUCCUCAACUUUUACUAUGAUAAUUUUGGUGUAAAGAUUUUUAAGCUUUAUUUAAUCUUUACCAACUCUCUUUAUUUAAUCUUUACCAACUCUCUCUUAUAAGCUGGUAUUAGAAAUGGAGUGAAAUGAAUGGAGGACUGAAUGGGGAUAAUAAUACAAAUUUAAUAAUAAAAAGAAAAUUGUAAAAAUGGCGUCAUUCAGUGCUUCAUCAUGUUGUUGAACUCGUCAAAGUUGAGGAUGCCAUCUCCAUUAAGAUCAAACUUUCGAAUCAUGGCCUCACAGUUGCUGAUUGAGGGUGACUCGCCGAGUCGACUCAACGUUCUCUUCAAACUCUUAGGGGUGAUGCAUCCCUUCCCCUCCUCCGCGUACAUUCCAAACGCCUCCCUCAGCUCCUCUUUCCUCUCCUCCUCUGAUAAUCCACUCCCUUUUAUGAGCUUAUUGAAGUCCUUUAAAUCCAGCAGCCCAUCUUCAUCGGAAUCCGACGACUGCACCGCCAUCUCCGCCUCCUCUCGUGACAGCUCUCCAACGCCAGCUGUCCUCAUACAAUUCUGUAGCUCAGCCGCCGAUAUCUUACCGUCACCAUUCUCGUCGAAGUAAUUAAACACUCGCUCCAUAACCUUAUCAUCGCCGGAAGCGACCGUAUCAAGUUCACCCGAACCAGGAUUUGAAAAUCUUUCCGGCGACUGUCUGGGGGAUAACUUUCGAAAUAAUCUUUGAAAGGCAGAGUUGGGAGAUGAAUUAGGCUUUUUUAUACCCUUGUUUUUUGAAGUGGAAGAAACUAUUUCCUGACCAGGUUUCAUUGCAGGGAAUGAAAAUAAUAAGUAAGUACUACUACUAUAAGAGAGAAGAAUUAUACUAGUUGGUAAAGACUUGAAACUGAGAAUUUAUGUAUUUGAGGAGAUAAAAAUAUAUAUGAAUUGUGAAUGAGAGGAUUGGGACUUGGGACUAUUUAUACGUUUGUCUGUCUCUGAGGGAGUUGUUUUUGGGAAUGCGGGCGGCGGGGCGGUGUAAACCGCGGGCGGGAAACUUCGUGCAGAGAGGCCAAGAUAACCAUGAAAUGAUGAAAAGGGCGGCCCGACCUUUUUGGUUUGUAUUCGGAAUGAUUUGUCACUCUGUUGAAAGUGUGGUAGCUGUUUGGCAGACGUGGGUUCCAUAUCAUAUAUUAUGUGUUACAUUUGUUUGGAAGGAAUCUGACUGCAAUUUUUAGGAACGUUGAAAUAAAAUUUAAAUAUUAUUUAUUUAUAUUUUUAUAAAUAUAAUAAAAAUUUAAAUACACUUAAAAUUUUAUAUCCGGUUAGAGUUCUUAAUUUUUAGGAGGAUGGUAUAUAAUGAGAUUUAAUGACUCAGAAAGUUAUUCAACUUUAUAUUAUUUUUUAAUUUUAAUUUAACUUGUAGAUUUUUUAUUUAUUUUUAUAAAAAAAACCUUUUAAUUUUAAUAAUUAGACAAAAAAUAACCAAUUCAAUGUUCAUUACCACCAAUUCAAUUGCUUGACGGACAUGGAUAAGUUAUUCACAGAAGAACCAAAAAGGCUAGGAUAGAAUUUAAUAUGUUAAUUGAGCCUGUAGCCCAGCAUUGACCUGAGAUUGAAAAUCAAAUCAUACAUAUUAAUAAACAAGGUGAACCCAAAUUUGGGUUUAUGUUCCAUCACAAUCCAGUCUAUUCGAAGAAUCCGAGUAGUCGACGGAUGCCUGGAUCUUGGUUCGGCGUGCUGGACUUCGAGCAUCUCGUCUUAGAGCAGUGGGGGAAAGUAGGAUUGAGAGGAAGUGACUGAUAGCGGUGGUUUGUGAGGGAAGGAGAGGAGGAGAGAGAGAAAUAUUUGGAUGAGUUUACAGAAGGAGAGCAUUGUCAUGGUAUUUGGUGUGACAGAAUUCAGAAAGUUUGUACUAUGUGGUGGUGGUUUGGAAAGGAGGGAGAGUAAUGGAGAAAGUAGGAAACUCUGAGCUCUCUUGCCGUUUCGGUCUUUGCCGGAAAUCUCCGAGCUCUCCUGGCAGAGCUUCUCGCCGUUCCGGUUCUGAAGGAGAGGAUUGCAUUUUGUUUUUAUUUUAUUAUUAUAUAUUUUUGUUUGUCAUGUAUUUUAUAUUUUUAUUAAAUUUUAUGUUAAUAUUUUGAAUAACUUAAAAUUUCUUUUUUAUUGAUUAAAUAUGAUAUACGUUAGGAUAAGAAUAAAAGUUUUUUUUUUCCACCCUACUUGCCAUGUCAUAUGUCACAUAUUACUCAUUGUACCUCAUGUGUGAUGUCACAUCAAUUUUAGUAUUUUUUGCUUAGUUAUUAAAGUUGAAAGGUAAAAAAUUUAUCAGAUCUAAUUAAAGGAAAUAAUAUUGUUUUUUAAGUAAAAAUGAAAAAAAAAUUACCAACUUAAAGGGACACUCAUUGAAAUAAUUUAUUGAUCAAUAUGUUAAAGUGGAGUAUGACACAUCAACGGUUUAUAAAAUAAUUUAUGUCCGUAACAUUACUCUUAUUAUUUAAAUAAUGCUAGAGACACAAACUAUUUUAUAAAUAUUUUACAAACUGCUAAUGUGAAAUACCCCACUUCAAUUUUUUAUGUGGGCCCAAAAUCUAAUAAUUUAUUGAUCAAGUUGAAGUGAAGUAUGACACAUUAACAAUUUAUAAAAUAUUUAUAGAAUAGUUUAUGUCUAUAAUAUUAUUUUUGUUAUUUAUGUACCAUAUUUUUAUUUUCUUAAUUUAAUCAACUGACCCGUUUGAAACUAUAAUGUUCUGAUGGGGCAGCCCCCCCUUUAUUGGCUUGGUCCCCAGAUCUGGUUUAACCAUAUCCUCAUUUAAAUAUCAACCGUGUCUCCAAAAAAAGUAUACUAAUAAUUAUUAUAUUUAUUAAAAGAAAGAAAGAAAGAAAUAUAAUUGUUCAGUUGAAGUUGUGUCACAAAUUAUAUUUCAUUUUUAUGUCUACAGAUUUGGUUUUGUUGCAAUUUCGUCUUUCAUAUAUUUUUAUUCUUUUAUUCUUCCCCAAAAAUUUGAUAAUUUUUUUUAUUAUAUUAUUACAGUAAUUAUGUACGUAAUACGUGUACUAUUAAGAUAGUAUUUGAGACGUAUAUAAAUAGUCAAAUAUGUUUAGAAAAGUAAAAGUGCUUGCUAACUUUUUUGGAAGUUUCUGAUUAUUUACAAAAUCUAAUGUUUAGACUAGUCAAAGUAGUAUAUCAUUAAUUUGUCCUAAUUUAUUUUAAUAAUUCCAUCUAACUUUUUAAAACAUUUACUUUUAGUUAUUCAUAUUUAAAAUAAGUGACUAAUAAUUUUUUUUAUUUUACCAAUUUAAAUAUUUUUAUUUAUCAAACAUAAAUUCCAUUUUCAAAACUGAUAAUAAUACUAAUAUAUAAUGAUGAUGUACACAAAAAAAUUUACUUCUUCCCUCCUUUCCUUUCCGAUCCACAACCCAGAUGGCCCUCAACCCUCGUCUUUUAAAUACUAAUAAGCUUUACCUUUUUCUUCUUCCCUCAAAAACUAGGAAAACAAAUUGCACAAGUAUUCAAGUAAUCCAGUCUCUAGUACUGUUUCACGUCACAGAGGUUUUAGAAGAAUAAAUUUAGAUUGCAGCUGGCCAAUCUUCUCAUCUGAACAAGCAAAUUGUGAGUUAAUCUUCCUCUCAUCUUCUUUCUACUUAUUGUUAUUUUUCCCAAUUAAACCACCACUACUUUACCCAUAUAAAUCUCUACCUUAUUUCUUUUUAGUUCAAACCACAAUUUUAAUGUUAUAGUCUUGCCAUUAACAGUUUAUGCAUACAAAUGCAAUCCAAGGUUGGAAUCUUAGAAUACAUAGCAUCGGCGAAUUUGUAAACCGAUACUACAAAAUUUUUAAUUCCGACCCUGCGGAUCGAAGCGGAUGUACGUGACGGGCUGUGCGAGUUAUUAGGUCAUUUUAAAAUUCGAGAAUUACCAUUAAGAAGCCCCAACUACCUGUCAAUAGAAAUUCUUGUUGUAACUAUUUUGUUUAUUACCGGUCUUGAUUGUAGUAAGAUCAGUCAAUUGUGUUUCAAGUUAAUUUGUUAAUUUCCCCCCAUGUUAACCUAACUUCAAAUUUUAAUCAGGGUUGUCAAAAAUUGUUCUUUAGCUUGUUUUAAUUUUCUUAAUGAUGUAAACGAAUGUAUCAGCUGGCAAGGCUGGAUCCACUCGUUUAAUCCAACUCUAUUCGUCUCGAAUUCUCUUAGCAUGAACUGAGCUCAAACAAAUCUCUCACCGACUAAAUAAAUGACCUUAUGUCCCAUUUGAGCCGGACUUGGGGCCCAACUUGCUUAUGCCUGGUUUGUUUAAUAUUUAUAUUCAUUAAAUAGUUAAUUAUACACAUGUGAGUUACUAUUAGUUAUAACAUUAUUACUUUACCUAUUAACCCAUGCCCUUUAUUAAACCAUCCAAGUUUGUAACUAAAGUCCAAACUUGUUUAAAGCUGAACUUGGAUUACCUUGUACUAUAAAUUUACUCGAGCUCGAGUCCGUUAAGCCAACCUGGCUCGACUCGUGUCAUUUACAGCUCUAGUAUUUCUUUUUCUGUUAGUUGCAUUUUUUUUUCUUCCCUGCAGCCCCUCCCCCACAAAAAUUAAAAAAAUAAAAAUAAAUCCUGUAUAUUUUUGAGCUCUAUACUACAAACAAUGCUUUAUUUCUUAUUCCUGUUUUUUUUUACUUUGUAAUCUACUUAGGUUGGGUGAUGGAAACUGGAGGCAAUUCUCUACCAUCUGGCCCAGAUGGAGUGAAGAGAAAAGUGUUUUAUUUCUAUGACCCAGAGGUUGGCAAUUACUAUUAUGGGCAAGGUCACCCAAUGAAACCACACAGAAUUCGUAUGACACAUGCUCUUUUGGCCCACUAUGGUUUGCUGCAAAAUAUGCAUGUUCUCAAGCCCAUUCCGGCUAGAGACAAAGAUCUUUGCAGGUUUCAUGCUGAUGAUUAUGUUUCUUUCUUGAGGGGCAUUACCCCUGAAACACAGCAAGAUCAGCUGAGGCAGCUGAAGAGGUUUAAUGUUGGUGAAGACUGCCCUGUGUUUGAUGGUCUCUAUUCUUUCUGUCAGACUUAUGCUGGGGGCUCAGUUGGUGGCGCAGUGAAACUAAACCAUGGAUCUUGUGAUAUUGCUAUAAACUGGGCUGGUGGACUUCAUCAUGCAAAGAAAUGUGAGGCUUCUGGUUUCUGCUAUGUGAAUGACAUAGUGUUGGCAAUUCUGGAACUCCUUAAAGUGCAUGAGGUUGGUCAAAUUUAUUUUUUCUUCUUUUUGCUAAUAGUCAUGUGCUCCAGCUAAGGAAACAUCUGCAUCAGUAUUCAGUAUGUAGGCAGUGGGCUUUCGAUUUUGUGUUGCUCAAUAUUUGGAAUCAAUUUUUUUUAAUCACGAUAUAGUAAGGUGGUACCUGAAAUUUUUGGUUAUAAACAAGAUUAAAUUCCAUUAUUGUUCUAUCAUUUUUACACCCUUAAAUACCUUUCCAUAGUCUGUUUCAUAAGCAUGUGUUCUGUAAUUGAUGGUAGAAGGAUUCACCCACUACAAUGCCACGUUAAUAAAUGCCGAGUCAUUGUUUAAGAAGCUCCAGGCUAUUUAUUUAUUUAUUUUUUACGUUCUAUAACUUUAGUCCAAUAUCAGUCCUAGGGUUAUCAUAAUUCGCUUAUUUGUGCUCAAGAUCACACAAUGCUAAUGGUGGGUCGUCUUUCUUGAUCGAAGAAUGCUUACAUUCCAAAUUCGAGAGUAACAGUCGGAAUGAGAGUGAAGAGAAAGAGAGAAGGAAUGAAAGUGCAUGUGUACGUGCAAUUUGGGUUUUAACAUCAGUUGAUCUCAAUUGGAGUUUAAAUCAGUCUCUCAAGUCUCAACUGAUUGCCUAUAUUCACACAACAGCUGAUUUUUGCAUAUAUAUUACUCCUUCCGUCUCAUAGUUAUAGGCUGAUUUCUUUUGGCACAUGUUUUAAAAAAAUCAGUUUAACAGAAAUUUUUCACAUAUACCCCUUAAUAUGGAAUUAAUGAAUAAGUUAAUUACUCCGUACUUAUCACACUGAAACUCUCAGCUUAAUUGAUCAACGUGUACUGACCAUUAAAAUAGAACUUUAACCAAAGAUGGAAUUUUUAAUCUACAUAAACUUUCAACCAAUCACAAAACGUUUAUGUUAUUCCAAAUUCAUUUAUUGAGCCUAAAAAGUUGAAUUCUUUUAUUGAGAAUACAACAACAUUAAAUGUAGUGAUAAAAAUAAUGACGUUGAAUGUUGUUUCUUCAAAAAAAAAAAAAAAAGGUAAUGGUUGAAUAUUUAUUAUAAGGGCAUAAAAGUAAAACAAUGAACUAACUAAAUUUAUAAAUAGUAAGUAGCCUAUAUAUUGGGAUGGAGGGAGUAUUUGGUCUUCACUCUUUAACUAAGUCUAUUGAAUGUUGUGAACAGAGAGAGAGAGAGAGUAAAUAGUAAGUAGCCUAUAUAUUGGGAUAUCCCAAAAUGGAAAAUCAGCCUAUAACUAUGGGACGGAGUGAGUAUUUGGUCUUCACUCUUUAACUAAGUCUAUUGAAUGUUGUGAACAGAGAGAGAGAGAGUAAAUAGUAAGUAGCCUAUAUAUUGGGAUAUCCCAAAAUGGAAAAUCAGCCUAUAACUAUGGGACGGAGUGAGUAUUUGGUCUUCACUCUUUAACUAAGUCUAUUGAAUGUUGUGAACAGAGAGAGAGAGAGAGGGAGGGAGGGAGGGAGGGAGGGAGGAUAUCUUGGAAUUUUUAAUAGAAGAGAAAACAAAAUGGAGGUGUCUUGGAGUUUAAGUUGCUAGAGAAAAGAAGAGAAAAUUAGGGUUAUUUGGGCCCAAAAGUUUUCUUCACACUUUUGUAAAGAAAGUGAAAAAAUAAAAUAAAAUGAAUUCUUCCCUUCCCUUCAUUUCUUUUCUCUCUCUAAAAAACUCCCAUACACAAAGGGGGUCCUUUCUGCAAUAUCCAAGGUUAUUUGAACAAAAAAAAUCCAAUUUUCUACAAAAUUUUGAUUUUGAUCAAGAAUCAUUGCAAUUUGCAAAUAGAAAUAAAUAAUCACAAUUUUACCUACUUGGUGAUUUUAAUUUAGAUGAUAUAAGAAUAGUUUUGUCAACUAUUCCUAUAAGCCUACCCCUGUUGGUACUGCUUUUCAUGGUAGGUGGAAUUAAUUGUUCCUAUUCCCAUUCUGGAAUUGAAAUGAUCCACGUUUUAGGUAACCUAGAUCAACCAUGAGAAAAACACCAAAUAUAGUGAGUUUUGUUAUGGUUAAUUGGCAUCAAUCAUCUUUUUAACUACAUUAUCAAUUUUCAUUACUAGGCAGUUUUUAGCUGGCUAUUUAAAUGUUUACUCUGCCUAUUUAUAUUUAAACCUCUAUACCAUUAUCUUUUAGCUUUCAAGUUUAUAAUUGACUCUUUGUUUACACUUAUAUUGCAGCGUGUUUUAUAUGUUGAUAUUGAUAUUCAUCACGGUGAUGGUGUCGAGGAGGCUUUUUAUACUACUGACAGGGUCAUGACUGUUUCAUUUCAUAAAUUUGGAGAUUAUUUCCCUGGUACAGGGGACGUACGAGAUAUUGGAUAUGGUACUGGAAAAUAUUACUCUCUUAAUGUUCCAUUAGAUGAUGGAAUUGAUGAUGAAAGCUACCAGUCCCUAUUUAAACCAGUUAUGGGCAAAGUGAUGGAAGUCUUCAGGCCUGGUGCUGUGAUCUUACAGUGUGGUGCGGACUCUUUAUCUGGGGACAGGUUAGGCUGUUUUAAUUUAUCAAUUAAAGGUCAUGCAGAAUGUGUGAGAUAUAUGAGAUCUUUCAAUGUGCCGCUACUUUUGUUGGGUGGAGGUGGCUACACAAUACGAAAUGUUGCUCGCUGUUGGUGCUAUGAGGUAGUUUUAUAUUCUUUAUAAUCAUCAUGUCUUAUUUAUUUAUGCUCUAAGAUAGCAUCAUGGUUCUUAAUAUUCUACUUUGAGGGUGUAUUUGGUUAACCUCCAAUGGAAGUUUAAUGUGCAUUUGGUUAACUAUUGGUAACUGCUAAGAUUCUCAAAAUAUUUUUAUAUUUUAAAAAUAUAUUUCCUGCUUUCUUUCUGAUUCAUUAAAAAAAGAUACACCAACAGAGAAGAUUCUCCAGAGUGGGUGUAAUGGCUUUUUAUCUGCUUUGAGGUGAGAGAUAUGAUGGAAGAGAUAAUGUUGAAAUUGUCAUUGCUCUUGUCCAAAAAAUUGAAUGUUGAAAUUGUCAUUUGUAUGGGUUGUACCUCAUUCUGGAAUAUCCACUGUUGGUUUAACAUUCCUCAUGAUUUUCAGAAGAAAAUUGUUCCAAAUAUAAGAGGAGAACCUUCUUUCUAACAUUAUUUGCAGGAUGGAGAGAGUACUAAUUAUAGGUAGUUGGAGGUUUUCCAAAACAAAAUUCAAAUAUUCACCUUCAUGCUCAAGCAUUUUUAUUUAAUUUUUCAUUUUUCUUUUCCUUGUAGUUGUUUUUAUAAAGAGGAAAUGAUGAAAUAAUGUUGGGUGCAUUAUAGACUUUCUGCAUAUUCAUUUAACCCCGUGUAACAAGUAGCACUUUAACACAUAAAGGUGGUUUCUAGUUAUUUGGUGAUUUUGUACAGCAAUGGUUAUUUGCAUCUGUGCUCAAACCCCAGGGAGGCAAAGUGCAAUUUCCUGGUUACCUUGAGGCUGAUUGAAGUUUGCCUUAUAUUAAUUAUUAUACAUUUAUCUUUUGAGCAGACUGGAGUAGCACUUGGGACAGAACUUGAGGAUAAGAUGCCACAACACGAGUAUUAUGAGUACUUUGGUCCAGACUAUACUCUUCAUGUAGCUCCAAGUAACAUGGAAAAUAAAAACUCUCGUCAAAUACUGGAUGAAAUAAGAGCAAAGCUUCUUGACAACCUCUCAAAACUUCAGCAUGCUCCAAGUGUGCAGUUCCAGGAGCGACCACCUGAUACUGAGCUUCCAGAGGUUUAUUUCUGAAUCUUGUUUAGUUCUUGCCGUUCCUCUUCUCAUCUUGAUGGAUAUCUACAUGAUAACAGAUUAUGUGUAUCAGAUUAUAGUAUGCCUAACUAGACAAGUGACUUUUUCAUAAAAAUAUUUUAACUUUUAGGCAGAUGAAGAUAAUGAAGAUGAAAGGUGGGAUCGAGAGUCUGACAUGGAUGUCGAUGAUCAGUGGUACAUCUCUUCUAUUUAUAUUCGAACUUUUUAUAGCUAUGCUUUUGAUGGCUAAAGCGUACCUUACUUUUCUUCUACAGUAACUCAUUGUCUGGAAGAGUGAAGAGAGAAUUCCUUGAACCUGAGCGUAAAGAUGUGGUAUGUUUCCUUCAACUUUUCUAUAAAAGAAUGUUUAUAUCAAUUUUGAUCGCUUAGCAUUUACGAAAUUAUUCCUAAAUUUUUUAAGUGAACAAAUGAUAUAUAGAAGAGGUAUAUCAUACUUCUGUUCAAAUGAUAUAUCCUAUGGGUAGGAGAUAGAAGAGGUCUUUGGAUGGUGCUCUCCCCCCCCCCNNNNNNNNNNNNNNNNNNNNNNNNNNNNNNNNNNNNNNNNNNNNNNNNNNNNNNNNNNNNNNNNNNNNNNNNNNNNNNNNNNNNNNNNNNNNNNNNNNNNNNNNNNNNNNNNNNNNNNNNNNNNNNNNNNNNNNNNNNNNNNNNNNNNNNNNNNNNNNNNNNNNNNNNNNNNNNNNNNNNNNNNNNNNNNNNNNNNNNNNNNNNNNNNNNNNNNNNNNNNNNNNNNNNNNNNNNNNNNNNNNNNNNNNNNNNNNNNNNNNNNNNNNNNNNNNNNNNNNNNNNNNNNNNNNNNNNNNNNNNNNNNNNNNNNNNNNNNNNNNNNNNNNNNNNNNNNNNNNNNNNNNNNNNNNNNNNNNNNNNNNNUGUAUUUACUGCUUUUGUGCAUAGGUAAAUGAUUGGGGGGAAGGCCAGGGGCCCAUUUGGUUAUAUGGGUGGUGGAGAUUUGGACAUUGGAGAGUUGGAUUGUACCCACGAGUAGAAUCAGGUUUUAUCACCAACCUAUUAGGAUUACUUAGUGACUUGUCAUUAUUUCAUCAGACAGAGCAAGUGUAGAACUGGACUUUAGGCAGAGAAUUUUUUUUAGAUCAUCUUUUGUCACCCCUUAAUUGCAGAUGUCAGACAGUUUGGUUACUUCAAAUUUUUGGGUGGUUCAUAACUGUUGGGAUGUUAGAUUACCCAGCAAUAUGCCCACGUCUAAAAUGAGUAGAGUAUGAAGAAAAGGGGAUUUCCAGGAAUUUUAAACUGCUGCAGGUUCAUGGGAUUCUCCAGCUCCAGACUGGGUUGCUUAUCUCCAGUUUACAGGUAAAAAGUGUUGAUGAAUUUUCCCUCCUUUAUUGUAUCACAAAAGAAAGUAGUGAACAAUUCCUCUUCAGGCUCUAGUUUUUCUUCAAACUUGCUUGUUUUUCUGGAGGGGAUAGAUGAGGGCAGAGGUAUAUAUCACUCUUUUGUCAGAGGUUGAAUACAUUGACUUUAGAUUACUUUGCUCAUAAUUUUAAGAUUCUUGAUUCAUCAAGUUAAUUUCAGACUGUACAAAGCUAAUUUUGACACUUCAUUCCUUUUUAAGUGUAAUUUUAGAGAUUUUUUUGCAUUCCUCUAUCUGUCCUUUGCAGAUUCAAAGGAGAACUAAUUACCAAGUUUCCCAUAUUACCUGUAAAUAUUAAAUACAGACUUGUUUCUCUCUCAUCUUUCAGACUAAUUUUACUACAAUGAAAUAACACCUUAUAUUCUCUCUCUCUCUCUCUCUCUCUCUCUCUCUCUCUCUUAUUUACAUACAAGGAUAAUAUUGAUGUUUUAUACCUGUUUUAAUUAAUUAGUUAAGAGUAUUAAUUACAUUCCUUAAUCUACUAGUGUACUUCUAAAAUGACGCUUAGAAAGCAAUGGAAUGAGUACUUCGUUAUCUGUUAAGCUCUACCAGCUCGUUCAAGGUUUCUGUAAUCCUGAAUGUGUGGUCUAGGUUAAUCCAUAGUAUCUGCAUCAUACACGUUGAUUGUUGGGUCAAUGCGUUCUAGAACACAAUUUUUUUGGCUGCAGUAGUGACGCAUCUUUCUGUUUCAUUUUCAGGUUGAUGUUAGAGUAGGGGAGCAUGCAAGGGAAAUGGAUGCAGCAUUCACAGAGACUGCAUCAUUAAAGGUCAAGCUCUGACAACGAUUCUGCGUUGCAAACAUUAUGUAGUUCUAACAGGUUUCAGUUUUUUGAUUUCUUUGAUCAGGUCUCAAAUUCAAAUUCAACAUCUAUGGAUGAACCACAUAUUAAAUCGGAACAAGGAAACUCAAACAAACCAUCUGAUGAGCAUGCAGAUAUGAAUUCAUAGGGUGGAUAGGGCCCACUAAACCCCAAAAAAAGUCUUGUAAGGUUUAUUGGGCUCGUUAUUGCUGCAAUAAUAUUUAUUUGCUUUGCAACUGUUCUAGAAUUUUGUGACUAGAAUGACAAGGCCAUGAAAAAACAAUUUUAGGUGCUAAUUUUUCACUCAAAGAAAUGGAACUUUCCCGACAAUAUGCCGAUGGUGCCUUAACUGCAACAACAUUUGUAACUAUAUAUAUAUAUAUACCUAGUUGAGUGGAACAAAGUCACGGUUUGAUUAAAAUUGGUGCCCGUGAAAACUAACCUUUAUAAUUCACGACUUGGACAGUUGAACUUUGCAAGCUGGUUAGAUGCGUCAGUCUUCCUAUUUCUCCAUUGUUCCCAUCAGACCUUAAAAUAAUGAAAUACGUGAUUUUCUUUCUUAAUUCUAAGUUAAUAUAUUGUUUAAAUCAUCAUUAAAAGAAUGAAUUAUAACAUGUAGCUAAUAUAUUUUCUUCUGGAUUCUCAAACAUGGCCCCACGCUGGUUUGGACUAGUAGGAUGGUAAUGAAAAGUCAUGGUUUCACAGCCCCACUCCGUGACUUUUCGGCCUAUCCCUCUCUUCUUCUCUCUUUAGUGAUACAAGUUUCAUUUUUACUAGUUCAUCCAUAUAUUGAUGAUCCGUAUGUUAGAGAGUCAGAGACCCGUGUUGGCUAUGAAAAAAGAAAACAAUUGCACAUAUCCUCGGUCCAACCACUUGCUCACAUGGAAUUUUAACAUCUUUGGCUCCAUUAUAGAUUUCACUUCUGAUACACAAGGUCAUAGCCACAGGCAUCAUCCAUUCACUAUUCACAUACAAAAGAUUUCCAUACUCCACUUCUCUUGACUAAUCACACCUGGCAAAUAUAUAUUAAUAUAGCUCCCGUCCCGCAGUCGCAAUUUAUUACUGUGAACGGAUAAAUGUAAAUGUAUAAAAUACCUCUGCUUAUACAAAUCCAAAACUUUGGCAUCCGCGAUAUUAAAUUGAGGAGCCUAAAACAUCUUUUCAAGUUUUUCAAAUCACCUACCAGCCGUCUUGACAAAACAAUGGCGACCAUGGUGACAGUAACCACCUCCACAAAAUCUUCCUUAAUUAAAGCACCCACAAACCUUCCAUCUUCAUCAGUAGCACCACCACGUCCACCACCAAACCCCACCCAACACCCCCAGAUCCCACUAAUAUUUCCUCUUCAACUGUCCAAAACAUAUCCAAUCACUUUUCAAGGUUGUAUUCAAACCAUAAAGCUACUGCAUCCUUGAAACCUUCAAGUGGACAACCACAACCUUAUAUGGACACCCGUUUGCAAGCAAAAGCCAUGUCUGUUUCCACUACUUCAGAUGCCUCAAUUUCAUCACUCGUUAAGUUAAAAAGGAAAUAUAGAAGAAAUUCAACAGAUUUGGGUACAGGGUCAAUCAAGAAAUCUCAUGAAGACCAUAUUGAUACCAAAAGAGCAAUUGUAAGUUAUAAAACAGACUAAAUCAAGAAAUCAUCCAAGAAAGAGAGGGAAAAGAGGAAAUCUCAGCUGGAAGGGCGGGAUAUCAAGAAACCCAUUGUGGGACCAACACGGCAGUGCCAAGCAGUGGAGGAUGAAGGGGGCAGUUGGUAAAGCAGACGGGUUUCAUUUUUAGGCUCCGCAGUAUUACCAAAGUUUUUUUAAAAAAAAAUUCUAGACUCCGCAGUUUAAUAUUGCAAACGGAUGAUUUAUAUAAGGAGGGAUAUUUUAGACAUUUAUCCCGUCUGCAGUAUUAAACUGGAGUUAUUAAUCGAUAUUCGAAUGGACGCUCAUAAUUUGUUGCAAGACUAACCUUAAAUUGACAACAUUAGCGAUCAGUCCCAAAAAAAAAAAAUAUAUAUAUAUAAUACAUCCACCAAUCAGAUAAAGCCAACAGACGGACACACCAGAGAGAAGGUUGUUAGUUUACCUAUCAAUCAAAUAAACCCCCAAAAGAUACAUAUGAACUUGCAAAUUAAUACAUACGAACACUGUUCAGUUUUCAGUUUUCUUCCAUUGCUAGUCAUGCCAAGCAAAGUCUCCUUUGCCUUCUCUCAAACUUCUCCCUCUCCUAUAAUCAACUUCUGCAUCAGAGCUUGACAAACCCAAAUGAUACUUUCUGCUGAUUCUGGAUGUCCCCAUCUUAGAAAAAAUGUCUUCACUGUCACUCAAGAUAAGGUCACCCUGUUUAGUUUUCACAGUAACAUCCCCAAGUUGCCUCCGUGAUCCAUGAUCUGAAUCAUAUAAGAAAAAGAACAUUAGUGCAUACAGGAAAAUGAUGCUAGUAAAGAAGAUAGGAAGGAAAGGUCUGAAAGUCGGGAAAAACGGACUCUCAUACCAGCAUAAUAAGAAACAACAAAACUUGUGACCAUAACAAGAAGACAAACUUUGGAAGUCUUACGACAGUUCCAAUCUUUCCUAUGCUUUAUUCAACAGCCUUGCAGACAGUGCAUAAAUACUAGUACUGAAAAUUCACCUUCAAAAUCAUUGCAUAAAUGCAAGUUUGUAUGUGUUUUCACUGCCUUUGGUCUGUUAUCUGUUGAUAAAGUUACUAUAGCUUCCUCCGCAUGUGGCUUAUUGGGGAUGAAAGGAGUGAUGGUAAAGGAGUCCUCCAUAACAUCAGAUAUCUCAACAUACUGAGCUGUAGUGACAAUUUCAUCAGCACUGAACCCAAAGGAUGCUCGAUAAGCUUCUAUUUCCUCAACAUCUUGUUUGCUAACUUUGUUCUGUCUGCUUUGAUGCCCAUUUCCACCACUAGAGUAAACAUCAGAUUCCCUGGAAACACUUAGCCUCCCACCAGACUGAGACAACGAAGAUUGGUCCAGAUAAAAUUGUGCAAAUGUAUCAGGACAGAAAAAAUUUGAAUCUUGAGACAACUUGGAGGCACUGGCUGUAUCAAGCCCAUAAAACCUGCCCGAUUCAGACCUUGGGUGUUUUAGUUCUUGAGGAACCGAAGGGUCCCAUUGAGGAGCAAACUCCCGAUCAGGAAAAGACAAUGAUAGACAGUCACCAGAGGUCAUUGAAACAGGUGAUCUGAGGCUACUGGCUGGACUUCCAGGAUAAAGAGAAUAUGUUGCCUGAAGAUCAUUUGCAGCAAUGUAGUUUGCCUUGUCACGGUUUUUAAGAUCCAUGGAAGAUGAAAGGAACUGUGCAAAAGGCACAUCUGGGGAAGAGGGUGUAGUUAAAUGAGCCAACUCUGGAGGGGGUGUGAAAGGAGCAGUUGAUGGCUCAGUUGUGAAGGUCGAGAAAACAGGAGGAGAUACAAGUUGAGUCUCGUGUGCAUAUGGCCCUGUGGCAAACAUAGUGGAUGAAGGACCUCCUGGUGAGUUGGCAGACAAUGACAGGAAACAGUUGGGUGACUGAGCUGUUGACUGAAGAGCAGAAUUUGAAAAGGAUGCAGGGGAAGACGGCGGUGCUAAAAGAGAUGGAUGUAGUGCUGUAGUCUGAUUAUUUAACCCAACAGCUUGAGGUCCAUUUGGCUGAUUUCCCAAUGCAUUGGCCUCUGGAAUACGCGAUGCAGGUACAACCCGCUUCCCACCCUUCUGUGUGCCAAAACAAGACAAUCCACCCCAACAUCCUCCCCAUCUCUUUCGCUGUCAAAGUAUUCGACCACUAAAAAUCAAUUUUCAGAUUGCCACUCAAAAUUAAAAGAACGAAUGUAAUAAAUUACUUAUGGGUUGAAGCCUGACAAUUUUGUGACAUAAAUGCACACCUUUCUAGACACUCCUUCCAACAACAAACGGUUCAUUAUUUUAAGAGACCAGAGUUCAUUCAAGUUAACCAUUAAUAAUACAGUUCAAACUUAAUGAUUAAAAGUUCAAAAUUCGAGAUGACCUUAGAUUGCAAUAUUCAGCUCAAAAAAUCACAGUUGAAAGUGUUAAAUGUAUACACAAACAAAUGCUAAAUGGGAUUUUCCAGUCUCCCAUUCAAUCAAUUCCCUCCCACCAUAUCUUAAACCAGAACACCCCUAUGCUAUAUUGUAGCCACCUUACCUUACUACCUUAGACUUCGCCAUUAAGGAGCUUGCCUCAGGCCCUCAACCCCCCUAUCCAGUUCUGAUUGAGUUACUCAUGGCCUACUUAUCAACCUAGCUUGAAAGAAAUUAUUGAAUGGUAGUGGUUCUAAUGGAAAACAUAAUACUUCUAAUAUGGCUACAAAAUGGUAAAGAUGUUGCGUAAUUAUAUAAAUAUUUUGAUUUAGAUUUUAAAAUCUCUACACUUCCAAGCUUGCUAAAUUGAAUGGAAUUCGAAGAGUGAUGUCAAAAGCUUUUCAAUAUUUUGCAUCCGGUUAGGCAAGGAUUUUGUAAUUUCGAUUAGACCAUGCAUGCAGAGCAAUAACAAUUGGGACCAUUUCCAGUUAUAAGCUAUAGUUAAAUUAGAGUUUACCUUUACAAGUUUAGGGUAAGAAUAAGGCUAACCAAUCACAUCCUUAUUCUUACGCAUGGCUAAGCAUAAAAGACGAGAAUAAUAUAUAAAAAUAGAGGAAAAAGCAACAAUAAAUGAGAUAUCAGUUAUAUGCACUUCUAGCAAGUAAAGUGCAGAGUAACUAGUUGUUGGCUGAGGAAUAAGAAUCAAAUUUGUUGACCUAAAGCAUAUAAGUUGUGUAGUUGGAACUUGGAAGACACCUACUAGAAUUUGGCUACUUAUUGGGAAGAGACCAGCAAUUCAACAAACUGCAGUGGGAUAUUAAGGACAGCCAGGUAGCCUAUCUGAUGUGGAGUAGCACCAUAACAUACAAGUAAGGAUAUUCUUCAAUAAAAUAAGAUAUUUAAAGAAUAUAAAUAUUUUUCACAGUAGAAAAUAACUUGAGGCAAAGAGUCAAAUUUAGUUAAGAUACUAGUCAAAAUUGUGGCCCAACAUUUUCCUAAUAUUUUUAUCGGGAAAUUUAUUUCCUAAAAUCAACACGCACAGAAUUAAAGAACUUGAAAAUGUCAACCAAUCUCAAGAAAUACUUUGCAGUUUGAUAUAUAUUAUGUUUUCUCUAUUUAAUUGGAAAUUAAUGAUGUGACACUGAAAUGGAAAGAGAUGGAUUAAUCCAUUUGAGCAGUCGCAUUCAGUUUUAUAUGUAUGGAUAUUGACAAUUCAAACAGUUCAACAGACAGGUAUAUGCAUUUAAUAAAAAGCAAUCUAGGGGAAAACAAUAAAAUAGAAGGACAAGUCACUAAAGAUUAAAGCAUUUAAUACUCAUACAUUUUUUUAAAGAUAGAAAUCAGAUUCAAAAUGCAGUUUAGAUGCAAGUCUUUAGGUUGCCAAUUCUUGUUUGGGUAACAGAUCCAGGCUUCUAAUUAUCUUAACAACACAGGUGAUAAGCAGGUCAAGCAGAUCUGAGCUGCUCAACAUGCAGGCAAACAACUAUUUAUAUAAAGUAGUAAUCCAAACAUUAAAUAUAAGGCAAAGUGAAGUGAAUAAUAAGUAAUCUCAGAAUGUAAUGGUACCAGCCAUCUAAAUUCAGAUCUAGCAAAGAAAGAAACCUGUUUGUACCCAAAAGUGCACUCAACCCAGAGCUUUAAAGCAGAAAAUGCGAAUUGGGUCAGGAAGGAGUGCUCUCUCACUCUCUCUAGCACACUUUUUAUCUAUCCCCUUCUCAACUUCCCUACAACAGAUCUGACCCUCAAAAAAAAUCCUUGAACUCCAGUAACAGAACCCAUCAGACAGAAGAAAACCGUAAGACACUAAUUACACAAAUUACAAAGCGGUGGUCUCUGUGAGUGAUUAGUGCGAUAAAAAGAAGAAAAUCAGAAGUAUUUAACAAUGGUCCAGCAGCUUUUGGGUGUGCUAAGGAUUAGAGAAUACAAAUAGUAAAGAUAAAAGAACAAAUGCAAGAGGAUGUAGUGGGUAGCAGCAGAUCUGAAGAUAAUACCCGUGGAGCUGGAGGCUGUUGCUGCGGAAAUCUGAUCUGCUCCGACCCCAUUGUUAUCAAGAAGCUUUUUAUUUUGUGUUUGUUCUUAUACUUGUACUUCGUAAUUUCAGUGCCUGUGUUUGCAUUUCCUUUCCCAAAUAUAUAUACCCCUCGAAAUUUAUAAUCUAGUAUAUAUAUAUAAAUAUUUAAAUAUAAGAAGGCCUUCAGUAGAAGGCUAGAAGCUGACAGUGUGUAGAUUUAGUAGAGAGGGAAAGAGGAGAGAGAGAGAUCUGCAUGAAAGAGAAAGAGAAAGAGAAAGAUUCUUUUUUGUUGUUGUAAUUUUCUAGUAAUUUGUAAUUUAUUUCAAGGGUUUGAGGAAAAUGGGUGAAAUGGCAGAGGGGGAGGAUAUGGAUGGUUUGGAGGAAGAAGAUGAAGAUGAAGAGAGCCCUUCUCCUUUCUACGUUAGCAACUACUACUACAGUACGAGUCUACUACUCAGACUCAUCACUGAUACUGCUGCGAGUGUGUGGAUUUGCUACGGAGCUGCAAAUAACAUCUAACAAAUAUACAUGCGCGCGUGAGCGCGUCUCAUUAUUUUCACUAUCCUUUUUUCCUUUUUUNNNNNNNNNNNNNNNNNNNNNNNNNNNNNNNNNNNNNNNNNNNNNNNNNNNNNNNNNNNNNNNNNNNNNNNNNNNNNNNNNNNNNNNNNNNNNNNNNNNNNNNNNNNNNNNNNNNNNNNNNNNNNNNNNNNNNNNNNNNNNNNNNNNNNNNNNNNNNNNNNNNNNNNNNNNNNNNNNNNNNNNNNNNNNNNNNNNNNNNNNNNNNNNNNNNNNNNNNNNNNNNNNNNNNNNNNNNNNNNNNNNNNNNNNNNNNNNNNNNNNNNNNNNNNNNNNNNNNNNNNNNNNNNNNNNNNNNNNNNNNNNNNNNNNNNNNNNNNNNNNNNNNNNNNNNNNNNNNNNNNNNNNNNNNNNNNNNNNNNNNNNNNNNNNNNNNNNNNNNNNNNNNNNNNNNNNNNNNNNNNNNNNNNNNNNNNNNNNNNNNNNNNNNNNNNNNNNNNNNNNNNNNNNNNNNNNNNNNNNNNNNNNNNNNNNNNNUUUUUUUUUUUUUUUCCAUUUCGUUCCUUUUUUGUCUCCUUUUGGCAUCUGCUGUAGUUUGUACUGUACGGAAAAAACGACUAAAGGUUUAAAUAUUUUUGUCUUUAAAAGUAUACGAUAAAAUGAAGAGUAACUUAAUCAUUUAGUAUUAUUAUUAGAAGAUAUAAUAAAAUAUAUUAUAAAUUAAAAGAUAACUUCAAAAUUAAAAUAUAUUAUUUAAUAGUGUCUAUUAGUAUAAAAAAUAAAAAUACUAAUCAUUUUAUAUAAAAAGUUUUAUUAUAUUUUCUCUACUUAAUACUUUAGGGACUGACGUUUAGUGAAAUAAAAUAUUGUUUUUUUAUAUAUAUAAAAGUUUUAAGUAUUUACAAUAAAGUUAAAUUAUGUUUUGAUUACAUAAUUGUAAUUUUUUUUAAAUAAAAUUAUAUAAAAGCGUACUGUACAGAUUUUUAGUUUUUCUUUAAUAAUUAAAUGAGAAAUUGUACAUAGUAUUUUGGUGAAACGUACUUCCUAAAAACUUUACUCCCUAAAAGUCAUUUUAAAAAUAUUUCAAAAACUAAAAUAUUAUUUUUAUUUUCAAUUUUUUUUAAAAAAAAAUACUUCCACUCAAUUUUAAUAGUUUGUUCAGAAGUUAAAGGUAAUGUAUUAAUUUUAAAUUUUAAGAUAAUAUAAAAAAUUUAACAUAUUAUUAUUUAUAUUAUAAUUAUAAAUAGAUUAAAUAUUAUGAUUACUGUAUUUCAAACCAUACUUGAGAAUAUAACAAUAACAAUAAUAAUAAUAAUAAUAAUAAUAAUUACUUCAACCCAAUCAAUCACGUAAUUUGUAAAAGCAAAGUCUGGCGGCGUUAUAUUGUAAUAUCAUUACACUAAAUUAAUUUGAGAGUGGUUUCAUGUCCAAAUUUGAAGGGUUAAAAAUUAUUGUAUACAAUAUUUUUCAUAAAUUAAUCUAAAUAUUAUGAAUGAUCUAUUUAUAUAAUUGGAUAAUCAGUACUAACAAAGAUUGGUAUAAUAAAUAAAUGUAUGGGGUGCACCGCUAGUGGCCACCGGAUGAAAUUGACGUUACUAGGGACCAUGCCUGAACUUGGAUAGGAGGAUGGGGAAAUGGAGAAAGAAAACAUCUCUCUCUCACUCAUGAAGCUCAUACCCACUACUACAACUAUAGUAGUAAGCUGAUUCAAGAAUAGCCUUGCGAGUUGCUACAUUUUUAUUUUUAAUUUUAAUUGACGAGAAACCAGUCUAGUCUAGUCUAGUCUAACAACACACUACUACUACUACUACUACUACAUUGGCUUCCAACUACAAAUAAACUACACAUACUGGACAAUUGAGUUGGGAAAAGACAACCUGGAUAAUAAUUUAUUCUUAAACAUCGACCUGGAUGUUUUAGAGAGAAAAUACUACUCUAGUAACAACAUUUAAAAUUAAGAGACCGACCAAAUUCAAGUCACUUGUUGAGAGUCAUACAUUGGACACUACUACUCUAUUAAAAGUAUCCCUAAAGACAUCAUCAUCUAUAUAUCCAGCCUGCCGGAUUUGAACCGACAGCCGAAGGAUCAAGCAAUUUCAGGAUAACAAACCCCAGUAAUUGUCUAAUCCUUCUGCUCUUCCAUUUGAGCUAAGGCCGGUUCUCUUUCUUAGUUCAGGCCCAUUCCAUGCAAAUUCAAGCAUGUAUAGUUUUUCCUAUGAAGAAUCAGAGGAGAAUAUAAAUUAUGUUUUGCAUUCAAGCUCCCACACAUAAGCAGAGACUUUUUCCUAUUUAUUAUGUUUGUAGACUUGAACAUUACACUACUACUUCUUCUUCUUCUUCUUCAAUAUUACUUAAAACUUAUUGUUGUGCAAAUUUAAAUACUCCUUCCGUUUCAAAAUUUGAACUACAUUUCUAAAAUGAUGCUUUAACAGGAAAACCAAACAAAAAAAAAUGUCCAAUAAUUAAUUGUAGAAAUAUACUAGGUACUAGUGACAUGAUAGUGCUUAUUAUUUUAUGGCGAAAUUAGGAACUCCUAUCAUUCAUACUUUGAACUGGAAAUUUAUAACCAAUUUUGGAAUGGACUAAAGGAGCAUCUUUUAUUUUGUUAAGGAGGAGGGAGUAAUCUUGUAAAAUAUACUAAAAAUAGACUUUUCAAACCAUGCGUCGAGGUAGUGUAUCCUUCACAAAUAACUUUUGCCACAACAAUGUUGUUGUGAGAACUAAUUUUUGUUACUUUUCCUGUUUUCCAACUGAAAAAAUACAUGGAACGAAAUAAAAUAAGUUGAAUUUGCAUCUAUCAAAAAAGUUCAUUUAAAAGUUUGAUUUGAAUUGCACGGCCAAUUACUGCAGAUUUAGCCUGAGUGGGUUAUCCAUAAAAUGCUGCUGCAAACACUGGAAGGCUCCGAUGCUGCCAAUAUCUUCAUUAUGAAAAAUAUUUUGAAAUUGUUAUCCUCACGAGAGAUUACCAAUUUUAUUUUAAAGUAUGAGCACUUGGUUCAUGGUUCAUUUUUUUGUGGGUUUUUGGCUCUUUGCGAUUGGUUUAGGUUUAUUAGUAGAUGUUAUCUGUUGAAUGUUGCCACCUUUCAUCUCAUAAUACAAACAAACUACCUGACGAGUUGGGCACUUAAAACCAUAAAAAUAGGCCCCAGAUAAUAUAAUGUAAAUAGUAAGGGAUAGGUAAGGAAACACAUACCAGAGUCCCCAACCAACCUCCACAACGUCGGUCAGAAUACAAGUGGCUUACCCCUGCGCCAAAAAAAAAGUGGAAAAAGAAAAAGGACAAGGAAAGAGUAACUAAUUAAGAAAAAAUUUAAACUUUGUAUCAUCUGAAUCUAACUAAUGUAUAAGCAUUUGGCAAAAAAAAUUAAAUAAAUUUGUCAUGAUAUAUCCUCAUAAAUCUGUUGGGUUAGCAAUCUCAACUCCUAAAAUAAACUAUAAACAUGAUAUUCUUUGAUGAAGUUCUUUAACUUAAUUCACAAUCGUUCAUAAUUAUAUUAUCGAGUACACAUUAUCAUAUAUAUAUAAAUAAUAUUAGCAGAAUACUCUUGCACAAAUAUCAUUUCCAUGAUACUUUCCGACAUCAGCCUUCAUUUAAUCUAACAUAGUCAGGACAAACACAAAACAGGUCAUUUAAGGGUUUGCAUUAGCUCAUAGGGGCACUUUUAAUAGAUAAAGCUCCAUAGUUUGUUAAGCUACAUGGACAAAAAUUUUAAUAAAAAUCCGAUCACACACCUUGCACUUAAUAUCUACCAUCUUAUUUUGUUUAGUCCAGUAUUUCAGUAAUUUGAAGCUAGGCCAAGCCUGGCACAGACAACUAUGGUCAAUUAGAAGAUGUGGAAGUAUAUACAAACAUUCCCAUCCAUAUCCGAUAGAAGAAAGCAUGAUGAUUGAGGGAAUAUUUAAUUGUAGUUAGCCUGGUUGUUGCGGUAACAAUUUUUAUAUUUUGAUCAUAUUAAACAGGCCAAGGUUUUACACAAUCUCAUAUUUUAAUGGGGAAGAUACUAAUCAACCUCUAUAAGCAAUUAAUAUUCCCAGGGUACAAAUAGUUUUUAAUUAAUGAAUGGAAGAAAAUAACAAAGAGAAGUAUUAUCGGUACAAUAUAUUCAAUUUCAUAUUUGGUAUUAAAGAAUGAUGUUAUAAGGGCAUGUCUGUACAUAAGAGUAAUAUCAAAAAAUGCUACAAGCAUAAAUAAAAGAAUGACCGAUUUACAGUUUUCAAGAGGAGAAACUCAUCUGCAACUCAGAAAUAUCUACAAGAAUUUGCACAUGAGUCUGUCAUUGAUCAUCUUUGACAAGGUAAAUAUCCAAUGCAAAAAAUCAGCAUAGGAUCAUCAUCCUGCCUAGAGAGGACAGUGACACAACCUGAAAAAAGAUAAAUGUGACAUCAUUAAUAACUAUUUUAUAUGGAAUUUGACGUCGCAAAUAUUCAGGGUUCUAUGAGCACUUAAAAAUAUAAUUCUCAAUCCGUCACAAACAUGUGAAUACACUCCACCUCUCUUCUUUCUUAUCCCCAAACCAGAUUCAACAUUAAAUCAGAUGGAAAUAUUGUUUGUUCUUCAUCAAACUAGAUCAUGUCAAUCAGAUCCCACGGACACUCCUCGACAGUGGGCAUAAACUUUGUUGGGUAUGGCUGAUAUAAAUGCUCAUGUUCGGGAAACAUUAAAAAGAAGUUAUCAAGCAAAGGAGAAGUGUAUAAAUGGUAAGACCACCCAACCAGAACUCCAUGGGAAAAGCCAUUUUCUAGUGACAUGACCUUAUUUUUCAUUUCGAUAAGGGCAAAUGAUACAGGCACAUAAUCAGGAAAUCCUUAAAUGUACUCUAUUUAAUAUGUAUCUGCUUCCAAUGGAGGAUAUUAAAAAUUAACUGUCAAUAACUUUUCUGCUCUAUAUAUUGGCAUAUUUACCGACUCUAAGUUCAUUGUUCACUGUUCACUGUUCACAUGCAUAGCUAUAGUCUAUAGACUUGCAGAUCUCCUUUGUCAACUUAUUUAAAUUCACAAUAUGGUCAGUUUUCACCUUCUCUCAACCCUAACCCAACUAACAACCAAGGGAGAAAAAUAAGGAUCGAAAUAAUCUAAAAAGAAAAAGAAAAAAAAAAUACAUCGAUAAAGAGGAUACACCGACAUAGUUUCAAAAAUUGACUCUGUUGCAUGACAUUUCUUAGAAUGAACAUGAAAUAGAUAGAAUAAUUUAAAUCAAAUCUACAGUAUUUAUAUCUCUAUAGAAGUUAGAACAAGACACCAUCUUAUAUGCGCUGGUCUACUAGAAUAUAUGAAUUAAUAAUUGACUUGAUUUUGCUAGUUAAUGCACGAAAAUCAUUUAAAUAAAGCAGUACGUGAGCUGGGUUCAAAACGUCGUGAGACAGUUUUAGAGGUAAUUGAAAUAACAUCCAGUUUCUCAUUUCAAUUCAAGCAUUCUUAUCCAGUUGUGUCGCAUUACUGCUUGCUUCUACAAACCCACAAAAAUAAACUAUUUGCUUUGAAAACUGAAAACACAAUCAUCACUAAUUAGAUUCAACGCACAGAAGCAUUAACCAUGUGUUUGAGGAAUGCAAUUUGGUGAGAGAUUGCAUAUAAUACUAUAGUUGUCUCAAAAAGUUAUGCAAACAUUUAGCUUGUCUCAAAGUGGCUAUACUAACAAGGGUCUAUUGAAUUUAGAGGCUACGCAUAUUAGGGACCACAAAAAAGUACCCUCAGGACGAAGAACCAAAAGAAACUGGUCAAUGGUAAGUGGUAACAGCUACAAACCUAUGAUAGUCGUUUAUGUCACAAUGCAGCCUAAGCGCAAAAGAAUCGCCUGUGAAAUAGAACAGAAAACAAAUAAGAUCAAGUGAAGAUUCAAAUAUACAAGUGAAUUGCAGUAAGGUAAUCAAUAUACAUACCAGGAUAGUAACUCCUAAUAAAGCUUCUUAAUUCAGUGAUCGACGACACCUAGAGAGAAAAUAAUCAUAGUUAAUAGGGAGCUGAAAUUGCAAACAAACAAAGUUGUUGAGACUAGGAAUCAACUAGACCUGACAAAUGGGUUGUGUUGGUAGGGCUGAAUACCCAUGGUUUGGGUACUUGUGAGUGAACUACCCAUUACCCAAGUACCCAACCAGUUAAUUUUGACAAAUUUUUCUCUAAAAAAAUGUUUAUAUCACAAGAAACUUUGUAAAAAAUCCCAACUUGAAAGUAAUAAUAUACCAAUAAAAUUUUAAAUAUUUAGAGUACCAGAUUUAAAGAUAACGUGAAAGAGAGAGAAUAAGAGGAAGUGAAUUAUGCCACCACACCCUGAAUACAAAUAUUACGAAGCUAUCCUUUUUACAAUAGGAAAAGAUUUGCAACUUAAAAUAGAAAAAGGCUAUCAACUUAAAAAUGUUUUCAACUUUGACUACGAUAAGGAUAAUAUUUAAUAAUAUUAAUAAUUAUAUAAUUAAUAGUUAGUAUGAAUGGGCAUGGGUACUGACACCGUGGGUUGGGUCAAAAUGAAUUUGGUAAUUUUACUCGUGGGUGGUGUGGCAUUGUGUUCCCAAAAACAAACUUUUUAUGGGAAGUGGAAACCAAUGGUAACCAUGGGUAUGGUUCAAUUUUUGCAUUUUUUGUCAGAAUCAAUGAUUAGAAUUUUCAGAUUCAAUUUGGCAAACUGGUUAUUGAGAGAAACUAUGGCAAAAAGGUUUGAUGCUUAAUCAGACUGGCUGCAGUUCACAUUAGAGAAAGGAUUCAAAUUUGAUAUUGCCAUCUAAAUUGGAAUAGUCAUGGUAUGUACAACUGAUAGCAUAGGCUAAUAAGGAAAAAAUGCAGAAAUGAGAAACACUUCAACAGAAUUAAAGGACACUAUAUCUAGUCAUCUAGAUGUGCCAACAAAGAAAUCAAAAGUUACUUGAACAGAAACUUAGAAAUUAAAAGUUGAGAAUAUCGUUCUCGUGACAAUAAAUAAUUAUAAAUAAAUAAAUAUGAUGCAUCCAAAAAAAAAUCAAAACAUAAACCCACCCCCACUCCAGCCCACCCAAAAAACAAACUCAGAAUUCACUUCAUGGAUUGCGUCUACUAAUUCAAAAUUCAGGUACAGAAAUCCAUAAUGCCUCAGAGUUCAGGUUCAGUAUAAAAGGAAUGUAUAAGAAUACCAAAUUUCUAGAGGCUUCGAAUUGUAAAUCUAUUUUUCUUCAUCAGUUCAAUAACCAAUGUUCUAAAAGGCGCUAGGCGGGCGGCCAGGGGGGCCUAGCGCCUAGGGGGCCUAGACGGCAUUUUUUAUUUUAAGCCAAUUUUAAUAUUUUAAUUUACGUUUAUCCAAACAAAACAAUAAUAUAAAACAAAACAAUAUAUGAUAAAAAUAAUAAAAACAUUUGCUUAAAGAUCAAGCACAUCUAUAUUACUGCUAAUGUCAAAAUUCAAAAACAAACAUGCAAUUGUUCAAAGUUCAAAUAUAUUUUUAACAUAUUAGUUUUAUUUAUAAAUUUAUAAACAAGAUUGUUAUUAAAUAAUAAAAUUUAAAAUUUCACGAAUUUAAUUCUAUAUUAAAACUUAAGAAACUAAACAUAAAUUUAAGAAUUAUAGUGAAUUAAACUAAAUAUUACAAAUGUAUCAUCAUUUAUAUAAUUUGAAAUUGGUUCAAGUUCAAAAAAUUACAACUAUAAUAAAAUUAUCCAUUUUGACUUGAUAUUGUUCACUUCUUGUUGUGAUUUGAUAUGUUACACCAUGUAUUAUGAAUAUGGUAAAUCAUUAAAAAAAUAAAUAUAUCGAGAUCUGGUUUGGGUAGUUAUUAUAAUAAAAAAAAUCUCUCCGCAUAGACCCUGCAUAGGCCCCACCUAAUUUUUUUGCCGCCUUGAGCCUAGGUGAGGCAAUUGGGGGGCCUAGCGCCUAGGCGGGGCCUAGGCGGGGAUUUUUAUAACAGUGUCAAUAACAAACUCGUUGAAAUGCAUUCUAAAAGACUGGUCAACCCUUGUUUAAGAACCCAGAAAUUAGAAAAUAAUACAAUUACACAACCACAAUUGAAUGACAUUAACAGCCACAAAUUCCAAUUCGCCUUACCUCCUAGAACCGCAGUUGCAGGGUAUCUUUUUCUCCUCCACUGGAAAUUUGUAAUUGUAUGUGAUUUCUUCACCAGCAGCAAUAUGCCGUUUUGCAUAGAUGAAAAUCUUUUUCUGACCCUCAACACUGAUAACCUUGGUAUAGCAAUUAGGCUGCAAGAGUUUACUCCAAAUUAAAAACCACCACACACUUUUUACAUCAAAGUAAAGAGUUCACUGAUAACUUGAUGCAGCUACCUCACAUGAAUGGUUUAUAAAUCUGGCAAUCCCACCACGCUUCGUAGCAUCAACCUGCACAGAAAUGAAACAUAUAUAAAGUUAUAAUAUUUUCCUUUAUGUACUCCAAGCCUAUCAUUUUCAUCACAAUAAUUAACAGAAAUCUUGGUAUAACCUUAAAUUGAUUAAUGAAGUGCAUGACUAAUGCAGCUUUCAAAAGGUCAGUAGCUGGCAGCUUGAUAUAAACUUGCAAACUCUGAUAUAAUCAUAAAACAGACAUCCACCUAAUAGAAGAUAACCUACUAAGUACCAACUGUAGGAAGAUGAAAUACAGACAACCACCUCCCAAACCUCAAAAAUUUAAAUGAAAAGAAGUUGCUAAACAAUUAUCAAUAUGUUCAAUUGUACAUGGGAUCCUGGCAUAUCAAAAUGAAGGCGUGGUAUCUUGGAAUUAAUAGAAGAUCUAUAAAACGAAAGAAGAAAAGAUUAAUUUGUUUUAAUUUUGUCCAUCGUCAUAAAGGCCUAGUUGAAAACAUGAAAUAUUACUUUCAAACUUACACCAAAACUGGUAACUCAGCGAUAACACUUUACAUCUAAUUAUAUUAAUAUCAGACUAUCUCCUUGAAGGGGAUUGCUGUAGACAAGAAAAUUUCAGGUUUCAGUAUUUUAUUUAGGUUUCCCUACUCGGGGCUCAUUUGAAGUUCUACAGCUUACAGAUUCAAGAUAUAUUUUUUAAAAACUGCAGAAUCGGAUAAAAAAGGUUAGGUCAACCAUUAAAGACUGGAUAAAGAGGUUCCUAAUUUACAAAAUAUUUUCACAUUUAUUUUUAGGUAACCAUGUUUUCGGAGGCAGUAUAAAUAGCUAAAAAGUACAUUUGAAAAUAGCUCGUAAGAUAACCUAGCAAUGAACUAGUCAAAAUAUGUAGCAUAGGAUUGGUAAUCUUAUUACUAAAACUAUCACGCUUCACGUACCACAUAACCAUCAUCCAGUCUGAACAGAUAACUGCUUCCAAUUCCCAUCUUCUCAUAAUGGCGUUCACGUAUAUCGGAUACCUGCAGAAUUUAAGGGGGAGAAAACUGAUGGAAUCAAAUACAGCACAAUGUAAAGGCAACUUCACAAAAAGGUGUAAAGGACAAUACUCGCAUACAAAAACAAAGAGGACUAAAAGUUCAUAAUAAUCAAGCAAAUUUACAAAAAUAAAGCAUCAACUACAACCGAGCUGUAUAUGACGAAAGUGACGCAUCACACAUGUUGUGAACAAUUGAGGAGGAAGGAUUUUAAGUUCAUGGUGAACACAUCCUGGCCAAUCUCCUAGCCGCCGACUGGGCUCCCCACUUAGCCCUAAGUUACUAACUUCGGUUGGAGAAUGUAAGGAGGGGUUUCAAGUUCAUGGUGCAAGUUGCAACGCAUCCCCACUAGGCUGUCCAAAAAGGUUGCCAUCAUGGACUUCCUAUUUUCUUUUUUGCUAUCAAUUAAAAAGUGGACAUAGUGAGGAAAAAGAUUUUGUAAUCUUACACGAGGUCGAAUUAGUUCUCCAACGUAUUCAAUGACAAAAUCUUCUGCAUCAAUUGGCUCCAAUGCAACCAGACCCCAAUCAUGUAUCUUGCUACGUUGAAAACGUAAACGUUUUUUCCGUGCCUAACAAGAAAGAAAAACAUUAAGCAAUUAAAGUACGAGCAAGAAAAACAGAAGCAAUGUAAUCCUUCUUUCACCUUCAGCUGAGUAGCUUUCAAAAGAUCAGCACCUUCUGCUGCAGCAAGAAGAUUGCGCAACUUAACCCUGUUUGUUCUCGCAGAUAUGCCCUUAACAUUUGAAAACUGAGAACCACUACUCUCUGAAUGCAUAUUUUGAUCAUGAACAUGACGACUUCCCCUAACACGAGCUCUUUCAGCAGGAGUUGCAUUAAUUGACCAUUUAUGCCAUUCCCAACCAUUGAUUGAAGAUCGGGCACAUUCGUGAGAUCUGGGGCAGGGAAUUGAUGCUCUGGAUUUACUGCUCUUGAUUUUCUGAAAAACAACUUGUUUACAUGAUGGUAGCUUAGCAGCACCAUUCACUAUUUUUGGAAUUUUUCCAGAGCGUGCAAUAUUAUCCACAGCAUGCUUUCUUUUCAGAUUUGAAACCUUAGCUGCUGUGUACAAAAAAAAGACAAUCCAUGGAGACAGUAAAAGGUAAAGUGCAAGACAAAUAAUUGGAGAUCAAAUAGCUAGUGAGCUAUUCUACAAAGCAAUCAAAGUGGAAAUUUUAAAAAAAAUGGAACAGGGCAAAAAAAAUGAUACUCACAUCUUAGUAGCUUUUCGGAAUAAUCCCCGGUACGCACUUCCUGAGUUUCAUCUUCCCUGUCUUUCACUUCCUGAGUUUCAACUUCCAUGCCUUUCUUAUUAGCAACCUUAACCUUACUAAAAUUCUUGGUCAGAACGGAGACAAACUCUUUGCUACAUCUUGCAUCCCCUUCAUUGACUGCAUUAGCCAGACAAAACAUUAGUAAUUAUCAUUGUUUGACGUAAGAUUAUCUCUAAAACUGAAAGAUAACAUUUACUUGUGCAAAUGAAAUACCUUGAACGCCACGACCAGCCUUCACUGCUUUCUGGUUGGUUGAGUGAAGAGAUGUCAAGCUUUCACCAUGCAUAUCAUGCUUCUUAGCAUCACUACAUGAUUCAAUCAUGCUAUUAUCUGGUCCAAUUUUUGCAGGCUCAACUACAGCCUCAACUUCUGCAAUCUUAGUUGCAUCUCCAGAUAUAUCCCGUUUCCUUGACAUCUCAACAGAUUGCUUCUGAGAUCCAAUGUCUUCUGAGGUUGCCCACUCAGUAAAAGAUCCCAACUUUUUCCUUGUCAACCUUUUCUUGCGGUAAUAUGUAUACUUCCCAGUCACCAAAGAUGCGUCUGAAGGUCCUGAGCUGUGAUCAGUCCUUGAUAUUUCGCUAAGCUUAUCAAAUGCAGCAAGAAACUUACCAUGUUUCUUUUCAUUUGUCUUGCUUAAUCCCUUCUGAAUAAAGAUUCAAGAAUCAAAUAAGAAUCAGAAGAGAAAACCAUGCCACUAACCAACCCCUUUCUCCACAUUUAAAAAAAAGACUAAAACACACACACAACUCUGACAACACUCCAAGAAAUUUUGGAAGAAGUGGGGGAAAAAAGUAAGAAAUCAAUAAAUCCUACCUCCAUAGAGUCCGGUUUACAGCGUUUAUUUGAAGAACACCAUGGUACCAAAAACUUGUUAAGAGAAUCAGCAAUAAACAAGGAGUUACACUCUCUGAGUACAUCAUCGUGUAACUUCUGCCGGCACAUUGCCAAGGCAACGUAUACUGCAAUCUUUGGAAAACACUCAUGUGACCUGGAGGAACGGAUUUUGUUAAUCUGUAAUGGAACAAGGGUUUCGGACUUGUUCUCAAAUCCAGGUGGGUUCAGCUCAUCAAUAUCUUUAUCCCUAACUGUAUCAGUUAAAUGCGUGCACAUUUUUAGAAGUGUUCUGGACAAAAAGUUCGAUGAAGAAUUUUCACAUGCAGCAACAAUGUUCUGAUGGCCCUGGUUUGCUAAUUGUGAUGAAGCCUGAAAAUUGUCAGGAGGAAUUAUCUUCAAAUCAAGUUGCGUCUCAGAAGAACCAUUCGCGCUUAUUGUAUGGCUGUGUUGCACAGAAGGCUCAACGGCCACCUGAAAAGAUAAUUUAACUUUUCUUUAUACUCGUACAAAUUGAAAAAAAAAUAUGACUACCAUAAUGGCCAUUCAAAGGAAGCAUCAGAAGAAAUCUGACACCCGUGUAAAAUAUGAGCUUCUUCGGGUCUAAAUUAAAAAACUACCUCAUUAAAUUGGUCAUCUUCUAGAGAACCAAGUAUUUGCUUUACUUCUUCAUCCACAAUGGCUUCAAAAUACUGGACCAAAACCGUCAUUGCAGAUGAAUGGAGAUCGUGUUCUAUACCUCCCAGAAUGUAUUCCAUGUCAUCGUAUGUUUGACAAAUGCUUAAAAGGUUCCUUCUAGAUGACUUUACUCCCUCGGAAGAGCGUGAAGAAACCAAAGGUGACGGGGAGCAUUCAUUAGAUGCCAUCCUCGGCAACUCAAAACCAGGAGGGCAAUCGAGCUCACCAACACUAGAUUCUUGUUCUAACCGCAACUGUUGAGCAUGGAGACAAACUUCAAACAACAAACAUACAAAAGGAAAGCAGAAAAAUAUAGCAGAGCAAGGUUACAACUACUUACAGCUUCAACAGGUAGUUUUUCCACCACCCCAGCAUACUGUUCAAGUAAAUUUCUAUGUUCAAAAAUAGCAUUAUCGGCAGACCACAGUUUAAUCUUCCUCCAGGCAGAAGAAUACUCCACUAUAGAAUCAUGAAAGACAGCAUUCCACAUAACUUGCAUUGAAGAGUCAAAAAGCAUCCGAUAGAUAACCACACAUGCAUUCCAAAAGUUCUCAGCGCUUCCAACAGACUUCAUGCAAGAUAGAGACCUUGUACAACUUCUAUUAAUUGGGGGAUUUUGCUCAGAAACACUAUUUGAUACUGCUUUUUCACUCACCAGAGCAACAGAGUCCUUCACCUGAUAAGAUUCACUCUAUUCACACAAAAACCACAAAAUAAUAUCAAUAACAGUUAAUUUUUUUUCCCUUGACAAGUAAUAAGUACAGUUAAUUUGUAUGGAAAGAAAUGGUAAAUAGAUACAAAAAUGGAGUGAACGUGGUCAAGGAAAAGGAAAUAAUGUAGGAUUUGGAUCAUUUCAUCCCAUUUUAAUCGUUCUCUCCAAAAGUUGGAAGAAAUGAAGUGAAAAGAAUAAGACAUUAAAAUCAUUUAAUGAUGUAAUACAAACUUCUAGCAAUGUUUUAUGCUUGUUUGAUUUUGUUCUUGCCUCCCAAAUAAGAGGGGGAAGUUAAUUAAUUUCGUUUUUCCUUCUUUCCCAAUUCCUAAAUAAAAGGAAAGAAGAGCACAGUCCUUUCCUCCACUUGAGGCUCUCACCAAAACCCACCUUUUUUCUUCUCUCUAAAAGUAGAACAGAGUAGAGAUUAAAGUAUCAUUAUUUCUAUGGGACAUGAAUCCAUUACCAUGUUAGUUUUGACAGUCUGAUUGAUCACUUCCAACUUUUGAUUCUUGUUGGCUUUCUUUGAGGCAACACACUCCGCAAUUACAUGGCUAAUAAUCUCAUCUAGCACAACUCUACGUGCUGUUUUCAUGAUUCCAGAGUGCAGUUGCGAGCAAACUUCUUCAGAAAUUUCAGAUAUGAAGCUCAACAAAGGGCCAGUCUCAUGGACCUUGUCGUCAGAUAUAUAGACAUUUUCACGUCCAGCUGUUCUCCAAGAAUCUAUCACAGAUUUUAAAAUGAAGGGCUUAAACUUAUUGUCAGCAUGACAAAUCUGCACAUUAGAAUCAUAAAACAAUGUAAGACCAGGAUAACCAGAAAAAGAAUAUAUAUAUAUACAUAGCAGAAACUCUAGUAUUGGCAGGUUGGUGACCUCGACUUUUAAUACAAAACAUUAAUAGCACAUGUCGAACCAUUGGACACACUUAAUUGUGUUGACUCUGUUGACAACAGCGUAGUAAGUUUAGUAUUGGCAAGCUGUUCACCUUGACUUUUUAUACAAAAAAUUAAUGGUGCAUGUCAAACAAUUGGACAUACUUGAUUCGGAAUAUCAGGAUAAAUUCAAAAACUAUGUAUCGGUAUACCAACAAUAGGCUCACCAUCAAUGAAGCGCGAAGAUAUCCAUAGUGAUGCCAAGAGUAAAGUUCCACAAGAGAGUGUGGUCCAUGUUUCCUCCCCUCGUCAUCCUCAAACAGCCAACAAGACUCUUCACCUGACUGUGCUUUUACAAGGAUAAGAAGGGAUGAGGGUUAGCAAAUUAUUGAAAUGCACAACACUAAAAACAUUUAAUCCAACUAUAAUUCAUAAAUAACAUAUAAGAGCCUUAUUUUUUGUGAGUGUUCGCAAAAUUAUGAGCCAAAUAAAGUUCAAUUACCACUGGCAUGUAUGGCAUAUUCGAACAAGCUGCACCAGGAAUUGGGUUCUGCGGGUUGGAGUUAGUAUUAUUAUUGUUGAAAUAUGAAUGAAAUGCUGACUGCGAGUUGUAAGAUACACUUGUUGUAGCAAACUCUUGUCUGUUUGAUUCAGUGUUGCUGUGAGAAAUUGUGGGUGACUUAACUCCAGAGACAGACGCAUGUAAAUAUACAAAGCCAGUGGCGACAUGGUCGGGGAACUGCUUAAAGUAUUUCAGUGGCACAGGGUUGAUUAAACUCCCAUUCAUAAUGGGGUACACAGGAAGCUCAUCCGGUAAGAAACCAGUAGAUAAACCCUCGUAUAACUGCUCCUGAAUGUAAGGGCCACACAUUUGACCUUGUUCAUUGACAUACAUCCAUGCACUCACAAAUGCCGGAGAGGCAUAGCCGGUAUAUGUCUUGAUUGGGUGGGAAGACCCUCCGGUAUUAGAUUGAUGGGAUAUGUUUUCAUCACCGCCAUUUGACUGGCAGCUCAUUUCCACCCCAGAGUUCAAGCCAACAUCAUCCUCACAAUUGCAGCAAGAUGAAGAAUUAUGAAUACUACCGUAACAAGUAUGGCUCAGCUCCAUGGAAGAUGCAGCGGCAUCAUGACUGGGUUCUUCACAUAUAUGUGAAGACAAAUCACGGUGUACCAACUCUGAGACCUUUAGCCUCUUUCUAGAUAAAGUAAUUUGGUCAUAUUCACACAGCUGGAUAACUGAAUCAAAACCGCCUCUUUUAGUCUCGGUGCAGCAACCAUCAGAAUAUACCAUGUCUUUAAGAGAAGCUCCUGGGGCCAACCUGAUUACAACUAGAUAAUUAGAUUGAUUGCAAAGUACGUAAGGUUAUUUUUUAUCUUGCUUACUGUUGGAAAGUGUAAGCAAAUGCACAAAAUUCAAUGUACAGCAGUUAAGGACAAUUCUAUUAGGAUGACAGGUCCGAUCUCAUAAUAACAUGUGAUACCAACAAUCUAGAUCUAUGAAUAUUAUAUUUAUAAGAUCAUAUAUAUUUAAUAUGUAAAUAAAAAGCAAUCUUGACCAAAAGUUCGAUUCCAAUUCAUUAUCAAGUCUUCUCGUGAAAAUUCAUAGAAGAAAUUAGUUCCAGAGGUUGUAUGAUGAAGAUCAAAGCCAAUUUGAAUAUUACAUGUACGCAUAGAUAGAGAACAGACCUAUAAAGAGAACGACGGCAAUCUGCAGCUGUUGAUGUUGGUCGAAGGCAGUGGUUCGACGAUGAUACCAGGAACCCUAAUAAUGAAAGAUUCGACGAUGAUACCAGGAACCCUAAUAAUGAAAGAUAAGAGUUGGAUUCUAUUUGGCCUCCCUUGUUCUUUUUACGGGGCAAAAAAUACAAACUGAGAUAUCGGGUUACGGGUCCAAAUUUCGGAAUUCCUAGCUCCUAUUUCCUAGUAGAACUCUUUCUCGUUGAUUUGGAGUCUCCUUUCGGAUAAAGUAAAACCCGGAUAAAUUAAAGUUCGAUAAAGUAAUAACUAUUUCACUUACAUAAGUAAUUUCUUUUGAUCCGACUUGAGUAUAUGUACUAAACUAAUAACCUUGCUAAAUGUAUUAACUAAUAAUUUUUUUUUUAAUCUUUAAGCCCGACGAAAAUAUAAAUUAAUAAUUAUUAAAUUUCAUACAAAAAUUUAUAUAUGUAAUUCAUAUAUUGAUGAACUUUUUAUAAUAACGCCCAUACAAUAAAUUUAAAUUUUUCAAUCAAUCAAUAAUAUUUAAAAAAAAAGACAUUUUUUUAUAAAUAUGCAUCAAAAAUUACUUGUUUUUUCUUUUCACCAAUUAUUUUUACCUUCUCUAGACUCAAAUUAAUACAUUAAUUAUUACUCCAUCUCUUAAUUUUUCUACCAUAUAUAUAAAUUGAAAAACUCCCUCUAAAAUAAUAAAUAUUAACUUAUCAAUAAAUGAAUAAAUUAUUUAUUUAUUAAUAAAUAAAUAAUCUUGCUAAAGUAAAAAAAAAUCGAUCCCAAAGGUAUUUAUUUAUGGAGGUUUUUACUAAAUCUAUCUAUAUAUAUAUAUAUAUAUAUAUAUAUAAAAUAAAGAAAACCUAAAUUUUUUUUGUCAUUCAUAUUUAGUAUGGGACUAUAAUUUAAGUGAUAUCAAAACACCUUUUAAAACUUCCUCAUUUUAUUUAUAAAAAACUAUUAAAACUAUAAUUUAACUAGAACCAGAACAUUAUUUAUGAUUUUGAAAAACUUUAAAAUAACGGUAAAACUAAUGAAAAAUCACACUGGAGUUGGCAUAUUUUAUUUAUUACCCCAUUAAACUUUUAAAAAAUUAAAUUACCCAUUGAACUAAAUAAAAUUUUGAAAUUACAAUAUUCCGUUAAUAAAAUUAAACGUCCGUCAAAUUGGCUUAGAUUUUUUCAAGCAAAACUGAGAAAACGCACUAUAGUUAGUACAUUCUACUUUCAUCCCUCAAGAAGAUGAUCCUGAAUAUGAGAAAUUUCUAUAUAACCCUCAGUUCAGUUUCCUGUUGUCUUUACCUACUCGACUUCAAGCGACCAAAGUAAUGGCUGUCCAGGACACCUUGUCGACCCACUCCCCAGAUGAAGAGUACUUGGUUCAGGUACACCAUCUUCAGAGCCAUUGGAUUCGUGAUCAUGAAGUUGUGAAACUGUUUGAGAAAUUCUGUGCUAAACUUGAGGAGAUAGAAGAGAUAGUGAAAAGAAGAAAUAAGGAUAAUCAUCUAAAAAACCGAUGUGGUGCUGGCAUUCCUCCAUAUGAACUGCUUCUUCCCUCAUCAGCUCCAGGAGUAACCGGUCGAGGUAUUCCCAACAGUAUCUCUAUAUGACAGGCAUGGCCAACUCCAAGCUUUUGUGUUUCUAGAGCUAUUUUUAGUGCACGGCAUUUGCUUUGUUUAUGGUAAUUCAAUUUUCAGUUGGCUAAUAUUUGAGAAUUGAUCAAUUGUUGUGGGCCCGCAAGUAGUCUUGUAACAGUAGAAUUCUAAAGUUACUUUUUAUUUGAACACGCUCAGCUAUAAGCCCCUCCAAUAACGC